Molecule: ribosomal RNA, 481 nt
Filed under: uncultured bacterium
Lineage: Bacteria
Description: partial 16S ribosomal RNA
Rfam family: Bacterial small subunit ribosomal RNA
Source: RNAcentral
GACGAACGCUGGCGGCGUGCUUAACACAUGCAAGUCGAGCGGUAAGGCUCCUUCGGGAGUACACGAGCGGCGAACGGGUGAGUAACACGUGAGCAAUCUGCCCAUCACAUCGGGAUAACUUCGGGAAACCGAAGCUAAUACCGAAUACAACCACUUCAGGCAUCUGACGGUGGUGGAAAGUUCCGGCGGUGAUGGAUGAGCUCGCGGCCUAUCAGCUUGUUGGUGGGGUAAUGGCCCACCAAGGCUUCGACGGGUAGCCGGCCUGAGAGGGUGACCGGCCACACUGGGACUGAGACACGGCCCAGACUCCUACGGGAGGCAGCAGUGGGGAAUAUUGGACAAUGGGCGAAAGCCUGAUCCAGCAACGCCGCGUGAGGGAUGACGGCCUUCGGGUUGUAAACCUCUUUCAGCGCCGACGAGGCGAAAGUGACGGUAGGCGCAGAAGAAGCACCGGCCAACUACGUGCCAGCCGCCGCAGUAA